UAUUUGCAUAAAAAGGUAAUUCUUAGAUGGGGCUAUUUUGGAUGAUAGCUCCCAAAUGAGAAAACAAGUGUGGUGGUUUCUUUCACAGUAAAAUGUUAUGGAAUAUCUACUCAAACAUGAACUAUUGUUUAGACAUGUUUGUGUAACUUUAAAUUUGAAUUUUGGAUUUGACUUGGAUCUUUAACAACGACAAUUUGACUUAGUCACACAUGAUGACAUGGCACCAUUAGUGUGAGGUUACUUUAGCCUGACACCCGGGGUGUUACACACCCGCCAGCCACCUGUGUGCGAAGCACGUCGGUAGAACCAGUCUCAUGAACGCAGUCAUGUAAUGUCGGUCCGGGCUACUUCAUCCAACAAUAGCACCGAAUCAAAGUAAGACGUUGCUGGUAACUAAUAU
RNAcentral lists this long non-coding RNA (400 nucleotides) under Triticum aestivum (bread wheat). RNAcentral's name for it is "long non-coding RNA (TAES_LNC025843)". The record is from RNAcentral. Lineage: Eukaryota; Viridiplantae; Streptophyta; Magnoliopsida; Poales; Poaceae.